This is a long non-coding RNA of Rhipicephalus microplus (southern cattle tick), 244 nucleotides long. RefSeq lists it as uncharacterized. The record is from RefSeq and is a predicted model, not a curated record. NCBI's taxonomy places the organism in Eukaryota, Metazoa, Arthropoda, Arachnida, Ixodida, Ixodidae.
GCUCCAGGAGCCUCAGCAACAUUAUGAAUGAAAUCACCUCAACUUCCUCAACGCUUCAAUUAAAGACCCAACAUGCUAAAUCAGGUGAAGUCAACUACAAGAUCUUGUCCAAAGGUUAAAACCUUCAAGACCUGUCUGCAAAAUUUCGUUUGUCGCCCGAGCGAACUCGAAGGCGGUGGUGAGGCAUGUUUUUGAGGUUGAUUUGCAAUGCUAGCAAUUAAAUUUGUUGUUUUUAGGACAGGAA